CCUACGGGGGGCAGCAGUGGGGAAUAUUGCACAAUGGGCGCAAGCCUGAUGCAGCCAUGCCGCGUGUGUGAAGAAGGCCUUCGGGUUGUAAAGCACUUUCAGCGGGGAGGAAGGCGGUGAGGUUAAUAACCUCAUCGAUUGACGUUACCCGCAGAAGAAGCACCGGCUAACUCCGUGCCAGCAGCCGCGGUAAUACGGAGGGUGCAAGCGUUAAUCGGAAUUACUGGGCGUAAAGCGCACGCAGGCGGUCUGUCAAGUCGGAUGUGAAAUCCCCGGGCUCAACCUGGGAACUGCAUUCGAAACUGGCAGGCUAGAGUCUUGUAGAGGGGGGUAGAAUUCCAGGUGUAGCGGUGAAAUGCGUAGAGAUCUGGAGGAAUACCGGUGGCGAAGGCGGCCUCCUGGACAAAGACUGACGCUCAGGUGCGAAAGCGUGGGGAGCAAACAGGAUUAGAUACCCGAGUAGUC
RNAcentral lists this ribosomal RNA (465 nucleotides) under uncultured Klebsiella sp. Its description in RNAcentral is "bacterial SSU rRNA". It matches the Rfam family "Bacterial small subunit ribosomal RNA", at positions 338 to 795 of the family's 1533-position model. Lineage: Bacteria; Pseudomonadati; Pseudomonadota; Gammaproteobacteria; Enterobacterales; Enterobacteriaceae. The record is from RNAcentral.